RNAcentral lists this ribosomal RNA (618 nucleotides) under uncultured bacterium. RNAcentral describes it as "bacterial SSU rRNA". It matches the Rfam family "Bacterial small subunit ribosomal RNA", at positions 338 to 951 of the family's 1533-position model. The record is from RNAcentral.
CCUACGGGAGGCAGCAGUGGGGAAUUUUGGACAAUGGGCGCAAGCCUGAUCCAGCAAUGCCGCGUGAGUGAAGAAGGCCUUCGGGUUGUAAAGCUCUUUUGUCAGGGAAGAAACGGUGAAGGCUAAUAUCUUUUGCUAAUGACGGUACCUGAAGAAUAAGCACCGGCUAACUACGUGCCAGCAGCCGCGGUAAUACGUAGGGUGCAAGCGUUAAUCGGAAUUACUGGGCGUAAAGCGUGCGCAGGCGGUUUUGUAAGUUUGUCGUGAAAUCCCCGGGCUCAACCUGGGAAUGGCGAUGAAGACUGCAAGGCUAGAAUCUGGCAGAGGGGGGUAGAAUUCCACGUGUAGCAGUGAAAUGCGUAGAGAUGUGGAGGAACACCGAUGGCGAAGGCAGCCCCCUGGGUCAAGAUUGACGCUCAUGCACGAAAGCGUGGGGAGCAAACAGGAUUAGAUACCCUGGUAGUCCACGCCCUAAACGAUGUCUACUAGUUGUCGGGUUUUAAUUAACUUGGUAACGCAGCUAACGCGUGAGUAGACCGCCUGGGGAGUCGGUCGCAAGNUUAAAACUCAAAUUGAAUUGACGGCUUGNGNGNGCGACGACGACGACGAGGGAGGAGG